UGUUGGGUUAAGUCCCGCAACGAGCGCAACCCUCGUUCUAUGUUGCUAGCACGUGAUGGUGGGAACUCAUAGGAGACUGCCGGGGUCAACUCGGAGGAAGGUGGGGAUGACGUCAAAUCAUCAUGCCCUUUAUGUCUUGGGCUUCACGCAUGCUACAAUGGCUGGUACAGAGAGAUGCGAGACCGCGAGGUUUUAGCGAAUCCCUUAAAGCCAGUCUCAGUUCGGAUCGUAGUCUGCAAUUCGACUACGUGAAGUCGGAGUCGCUAGUAAUCGCAGAUCAGCAACGCUGCGGUGAAUACGUUCCCGGGCCUUGUACACACCGCCCGUCAAGUCACGAAAGUCGGUAACACCCGAAGCCGGUGGCCCAACCCCUUGUGG
RNAcentral lists this ribosomal RNA (378 nucleotides) under uncultured Actinomycetes bacterium. RNAcentral's name for it is "bacterial SSU rRNA". It matches the Rfam family "Bacterial small subunit ribosomal RNA", at positions 1073 to 1446 of the family's 1533-position model. The record is from RNAcentral. Lineage: Bacteria; Bacillati; Actinomycetota; Actinomycetes.